RNAcentral lists this small nucleolar RNA (67 nucleotides) under Neotoma lepida (desert woodrat). RNAcentral's name for it is "Small nucleolar RNA SNORD58". It matches the Rfam family "Small nucleolar RNA SNORD58". From Rfam's summary of the family: snoRNA U58 is found in introns 1, 3 and 6 of the ribosomal protein RPL17 gene in humans. U58 is a member of the C/D class of snoRNA which contain C (UGAUGA) and D (CUGA) box motifs. Lineage: Eukaryota; Metazoa; Chordata; Mammalia; Rodentia; Cricetidae. The record is from Rfam by way of RNAcentral.
CUGCGAUGAUGUCAUUUCUUAGGACACCUUUGGAUGGAUCAUGAAAAGAACUUAUUCUCUGAGCAGC